UUCCAAAGGAAAGGAAAUCUAAAAUAAGACUGAGAUAUUGGCAUUGCUACAAGCCAUCUGGUUGCCUCGAGAGGUCACCAUCCAUUGCUGCGGGCACCAGAAGGGGCUUAGCCCCGAGAUGAUUGGUAAUAAUGCUGCUGACCAGGCAGCAAAACAAGCCACCCAAAAAUCAGUGGGGAAGCAAAUGGUUCUGCUUCCCACGCUGGUACUCCCAGAAAAACCUGAAUGCACAGAUAAAGAAGUAGCGGAAAUGAACAGGAGACACUGGACUCGAGGAAAACAUGGAUGGUGGACAACUAAGGAUGGAAAGGUGUUGCUCCCACCUGCUGUAGCAGAUACGUUGCUGCAAGAACUACAUGAGUCCACCCACCUUGGUGAGAAAAGGAUGAUGGCUGCCCUGCGACCUCAUUUCGUCAGCGAGGGAUUAGCCCAAAAGGCCCAGGACAUGGUGAGAUGAUGCCCCACCUGCCUCAAGGUUUGAUUCCAAGACCCUGAAACCUCAUUGGAAGGGACUGGUUCCUGUUGUCCUGUCAACUCCCUUGGCGGUGAAAGUGGCUGGACAUUCUGCCUGGAUACAUUGCAACCAUCUAAAAACAAGACCCCCCACAGACAUCAAGAAGGUCAAAUGGAAGGUUAUCAGCCAACCAGGCGACCAAAAGAUUGGAGUGGGUUGGAGAUGUUUCGCCUUCAUGAUAAUGUUCUCUGGGACACUGGCAGUAUUGCCCCCAAGAGGACUAGAUCACACAAAAAAUGUAUGGAUUCAAUUGGCAAACUCGCUUAAUUUGUCUGAAUUCUGUCUAAAUGUUGAUGUAAAUUUCCAUCAUGUAUUGGGGACAUGCCUCAUGUCACAAACCUAAAAAUGCUGUCAAAUUAUAUACACCCAGGGUAAUUAUGUCAAAUAAUACCCAAUGUGCUAUGUAUGAAAAUUGUACAAGCAAAUGUCUGAGGAUAAAAUGGUUGGAAGGGAUGCCCUGCCAUAUAAAACAGAAAAUUGUAUAUAAAAAUUGCCAUAUCUCCCUGCCAAUGGGAUGGUUUUAUACCUGUGAAGGAAUAACCUUCAAUUAUAUUCCAGCCAAUUUGACCAAGACCCAUUGCUGCUUGAGUCGUCUAGCUGUAGUGUUGCCAGAUAGAACUGAUUUGAUUGUGCCUAAUAGAACUAGACAAUGGUCACCUUACACUGCACCAGGGUGCAAUGAUGAUGUAGGUCUGUUAACAGAUGCUGAAGUAAUAACUAUGAUAGCAUCUUUUGUUGCCCUGCCUUCUAUAGGAGUCCAUGCUGAAAAGGCAGUACGAAAAUUAGCAUGCAAGGUGGUCAAAGGGUUAAAUGCUACCUCAUCAGCCUUGGUAUUAAUUAACCAAGAGUUACAAGAACAGAGACAGGCAAUCUUAGAUAAUAGGGCAGCGAUAGACUAUUUGUUGCUCUUCCACCACCAAGGUUGUGAGAAAAUAAGAAAUAUGCGUUGUUUCAAUCUUACUGACAAUAGUCCAAAAAUCAAAGAAAAGGUAAAACAAUUGAAAGACCUGGCUCAAAGGGUACAUAAUGAAGAUGGCUGGGACUUGUCCCAAUGGCUAACUAAAUGGCUGCCCAACCUACAAUGGUUAAAACAACUUUUUCUCGUCGUUAUAGUUGUGUGUAUAUGUUUACUAUUGUCAUGCUGUUGUAUACAAUGGAUACCUACGUUUAUAUGUAAAAUUACUUAAGUCCCAAGCUCUUAGGAGGCUGAUACUGAGGCAGGGGGAUUGUGAGUUCUAGGCCAGCCUGCCCUCACAGCAAAUUCAAAGCCAACAACAAAAUUCCCUCCUCAGGGGCUGGAGUGUGUAGCUCAGUAGUAGAGAGGCACAAGGCCCUGAGUUUGAUUCCUAGCACAGAAAAAUCUUUUUCAUAUGCCUAUUAUUCUGGUAAUUGGGGUUUCACCAUUCAGCAAAAUAACAAAUAGCUCUAAUUUUGUUAAGUAAUUAUUAAAAAUGAAAUGAGGCACGGCAUCCUUGUAAUAAAGAAAAUAACCUAGCUUCCCCUGCGCCUUUUAUCUUUGCCAGCUUUUGCCACUUGCCUGACAGUCAACUAUAUCCAGGUACCUCACCACACCACCCCCUGACCUCAGAAGAGGAAGAUAAAGUUUAAAUAUUAGCCACAACACUAAAGGCUCGAACUAAAGCUCUCUGACACCUUCCCCUUAAUCUUUCCCCUCCCUGUACAGCUAUUUUUUUUACUCUGGCAAUUCUGUUACUAAAGAUAAUGGUUUUGCUCCAUCUUGUUUCUGUGAGAACCUGUUUCUUCUCCUGGGAGCAAGGACACCCAGAUGUGUUAAGUCACAAGCUGUCACUGCUUGAGGAACUGCUUUUGUUCUGCCUCUAUAGUUUCUGUAUAAAAGGAGUAACAUAACUCCAGCUGACUGCUCAGACUUUGGAGAGUUUAUCUCCUCUGAGCCUGCUAGAGGAAUAAAAUCUUUUGAUCUCUCCA
Heterocephalus glaber (naked mole-rat) is the source of this 2461-nucleotide non-coding RNA. Lineage: Eukaryota; Metazoa; Chordata; Mammalia; Rodentia; Bathyergidae. The record is from RefSeq and is a predicted model, not a curated record.